GACAGAGGGUGCAAACGUUGUUCGGAAUUACUGGGCGUAAAGCGCGUGUAGGCGGCGCAGCAAGUCGGGUGUGAAAGCCCUGAGCUCAACUCAGGAAGUGCACUCGAAACUGCUGUGCUUGAGUCCCGGAGAGGAUGGCGGAAUUCUCGGUGUAGAGGUGAAAUUCGUAGAUAUCGAGAGGAACACCGGUGGCGAAGGCGGCCAUCUGGACGGGUACUGACGCUGAGACGCGAAAGCGUGGGGAGCAAACAGG
Molecule: ribosomal RNA, 253 nt
Filed under: uncultured bacterium
Lineage: Bacteria
Description: partial 16S ribosomal RNA
Rfam family: Bacterial small subunit ribosomal RNA
Source: RNAcentral